This 232-nucleotide long non-coding RNA is filed under the name Elaeis guineensis (African oil palm). RNAcentral describes it as "long non-coding RNA (EGUI_LNC028110)". The record is from RNAcentral. Lineage: Eukaryota; Viridiplantae; Streptophyta; Magnoliopsida; Arecales; Arecaceae.
CAGCUUAUGUCAAGCAUUUAAGAAUAUAUAAGCUUGGAUCUAAAUUCGAUAGAUACUUGUUCGUAGGGUAUCCGAAGAAAAUUAAAGGAUACUACUUCUACCUCGCUACAAAGUAAAAGAUAUUUGUUAGUAGCAGAAUAGCCUUUUUGAAAAAAGAGUUUCUUAGAAAAGGAGCUAAUACUUGUAAAAUUGAACUUGAUGAAGUUCAAGAGGUGAAAAGACUGACACGCAC